This 80-nucleotide non-coding RNA is filed under the name Chloropicon mariensis. Lineage: Eukaryota; Viridiplantae; Chlorophyta; Chloropicophyceae; Chloropicales; Chloropicaceae. The record is from RNAcentral.
AGGUGACACAGAAGAAACUAAACUCUCUUUUUUUUCCCUUCUUCUUCUUCUUCUUCUUCCUCUUCUUCUUCUCUCCUGUU